AAUUUAAUCUCUGCAUUUUAGACUAACCUACAAAGACUGAAUCGAGUCAGCCUUGGGCUUUUUCACUGUCUGUAUCUUAGCCUGGAGGUCCAGAGUUCAACACCAACAGCAGUCACAUAAAUCCUUUCCAGGUGCCUUCAGUGUGCCUUUCUACUCUGACUUCUGGAGAUCAUAGCUAGAUGCAAAAUUACUCCCAGCUUUUUAUAAACCUUACAAUUUCCCCAGUGAUGUCAUCAUUUUGUUGUUGUUGUUGUCACAUCAAUUCCCCAGGCAAUCCUUUGGCCUCUCUAUAGGGAUGCCCAACAAGUUCACCAAGUACAAAAGUGUUAUGAUGUUUGCAGAUGGUCCCAUACCCACUAAGACCUGGACUGAGAGCAUCAGUUUGUUUCAUAGAGGACAAUGAAUAACUAUCAGAUGGACAUGACUAUUGUUUAAUGGAUUCAGGUUAAUGGCCUAGAAAUGAAAAGAUUUUUUUAUCCCACUACCAAACCCCAGAGCCAGAUCUGUCCUAUUCUUGGCUUUCCAUCAAGCUGUGGCUAAACUGAUUCUCCAAGAUGCUUUCAAAUUAUUUUGCCUGUCCUUUAAGACCUGGGGUCUCUUGGUUCUCUUAAGUUUUCCUCUCCCCCCUGUAUUUCAGGUGGAUCCUCCAAUGCUGUGAUAUGAAGCCUAAUGGGGCACAUUUUUAAUCAGGGCGAGUGUAGAGGAUGUCACGUUUUCCUCUCUUCUGACUAUAACAGGAGCUAUUCCUUUUGAGAAGCUGUUUCUUAGGAAAGCACAAGCAUCUGCAAAAUAUAUGAGCUCCAAAUGUGAACAGACAUGUAUCUAUCACUCAUAAUUUCCCUGUUUACUUGCAACAGCUUAAGAAAAAAUUAAAAACAAAGUAGAUUAAAUAUUUUUUUCAACUACAGCCAUAGUACCUAAGGCUGUGCAUUAGUGCAUUCUCAUUAUUUAAACCAGAUCAGCCUUAGUCAGUACUUCAAAGGGCUCCUUUUUACAUCCAGUGAAAAUCUAAGGUCCAAGUACUUCAGGUCCUGAUAACAUGUAUGCACUCUUCUCUCUCUUCAUGUUCAAUUCAUGCCCUAGUGUGGCAUUCAGAUAAUAUUGUACUAUGGAAAGGUACCCAUUCGGAUUGAAGCUGGCCAAAACAAGAGACAAUUUUUUCAUUCUAUUUAUCCUUUUGGAGUCAAAAAGAAAUUCAGUGAGUGAAACCCAGGAUUUUGCCACAAUUUUUUUUUUACAAAAAUAUUGAUACUUUUUAAUCAUGGAAGUAUUUUCACUUUUUAUAAUGUCCCUGUAUUUCACUGAAGGACAGAACAGAGCUCCAGAUCAUAUAUGGUCACUAAAGAUGCUCCAGCGCAUUUGGAAGGGCCAGGAUUGCAUGCCUGUAGACAAAUCAGAUUGAGUGCUUGUCCAGCUGUUAGCUCUUUCUUCUGCCUGUGGGUUUUUGGCAACCAGAGUAUGAUCUCUACAAAACUGGAAGAAUAUGUCAGACUUUAUUCAAAGUCUCAAAUACUUUGAGUCUACACUCAAAUGCUGGCAUAAAGACCCGAUAAUUUUCUGUCUAUUUAAAAUAGGCAUGAGGCUGAACCAUUCAGAUCAUUUGGACCAUUCAGACCUUUCUGAAAACAAUUCAAUCCUCACAUUAGAUUCACAUUGCACAGUGGAGACUGUACUAAAGGCAGCAGUCCAUCCCAUGACUGCAUUAAGACCAGAGAGUGAUGCUAGUCCUCAAAGCUGAGUUCAAUUAGUAGAGGAGCAAGAAAGACGGAGAGAAUUACAGGUUCUUUCCUAUGUCUGGCAAGUGAUAAAAAAAUCCUAUUGUAUUCAUUGCAGCCAAAUUCUGGAACCAUAUUGCAUCAUUCAGAAAGAAAAAUAUUCACAUUUGGAUCAUCCGGAUACAAACCCAUGAGCUUAUUUGAGUAAUUCUGUUUGAAGAAGUUGAAGAACAUUCAGACAUUUCUUCUACUAUUUGCCCAGGUAUACAUAAUACAUAUCCAGUAUUCAUAUAUUCAACCUUAAUACCCAUGCAGUUCUUGGAAAAUAUUAAUUGCUCUAUAAAGGCCAAGCAGAUCAUAUAAUUGUAUUUCAAUAUUUUACCCUAAACAGUUAGUACAGGUAAUUUUUUUUUUUUUUUUUUACAGACAAAGCAUUGCCAUUCAGACACUCCACUGGUGUAUAACACUCCACUGGUGUGAUUUUUCUUAAUCAGCUAGAUAUUCAGAAUAAAAACCUGGCCCUGUGGAAAUCAGUGAGAGUUUUGCCAUUGACUGCAAUGUGAUUCAGGAUUUCGCCCUUGAUGCAUAUGAUAUAUUUGUCAUGAUAUUUAGUAUGAUGUAAUGCACCUCAUUUUAAUAAUCCAAGUUAUAAAUAGUAUCUGUCAACUAGAGAAAACUUUAAAUCAAGCCUCAUGAAUCUUCAUGGGCACAACUUUGUUUCUGAGCAUUUUGCACUA
Molecule: long non-coding RNA, 2452 nt
Organism: Gavialis gangeticus (Gharial)
Lineage: Eukaryota; Metazoa; Chordata; Crocodylia; Gavialidae
Exons: 2
Source: RefSeq, a predicted model, not a curated record